AGCUUGCUUCUCUGAUGUUAGCGGCGGACGGGUGAGUAACACGUGGAUAACCUACCUAUAAGACUGGGAUAACUUCGGGAAACCGGAGCUAAUACCGGAUAAUAUUUUGAACCGCAUGGUUCAAAAGUGAAAGNCGGUCUUGCUGUCACUUAUAGAUGGAUCCGCGCUGCAUUAGCUAGUUGGUAAGGUAACGGCUUACCAAGGCAACGAUGCAUAGCCGACCUGAGAGGGUGAUCGGCCACACUGGAACUGAGACACGGUCCAGACUCCUACGGGAGGCAGCAGUAGGGAAUCUUCCGCAAUGGGCGAAAGCCUGACGGAGCAACGCCGCGUGAGUGAUGAAGGUCUUCGGAUCGUAAAACUCUGUUAUUAGGGAAGAACAUAUGUGUAAGUAACUGUGCACAUCUUGACGGUACCUAAUCAGAAAGCCACGGCUAACUACGUGCCAGCAGCCGCGG
Molecule: ribosomal RNA, 458 nt
Filed under: Staphylococcus aureus
Lineage: Bacteria; Bacillati; Bacillota; Bacilli; Caryophanales; Staphylococcaceae
Description: bacterial SSU rRNA
Rfam family: Bacterial small subunit ribosomal RNA
Source: RNAcentral